Molecule: transfer RNA, 75 nt
Filed under: Sphaerodactylus townsendi
Lineage: Eukaryota; Metazoa; Chordata; Lepidosauria; Squamata; Sphaerodactylidae
Description: tRNA-Ala
Rfam family: tRNA
About the family: Transfer RNA (tRNA) molecules are approximately 80 nucleotides in length. Their secondary structure includes four short double-helical elements and three loops (D, anti-codon, and T loops). Further hydrogen bonds mediate the characteristic L-shaped molecular structure. tRNAs have two regions of fundamental functional importance: the anti-codon, which is responsible for specific mRNA codon recognition, and the 3' end, to which the tRNAs corresponding amino acid is attached (by aminoacyl-tRNA synthetases). tRNAs cope with the degeneracy of the genetic code in two manners: having more than one tRNA (with a specific anti-codon) for a particular amino acid; and 'wobble' base-pairing, i.e. permitting non-standard base-pairing at the 3rd anti-codon position.
Source: RNAcentral
GGAGGAACUGUGGCUAAGUGGUAGAACAUCAGCUUCGCAUGUGGAAGGUCUCAGGUUCAAUCCCUGAUUUCUCCA